RNAcentral lists this ribosomal RNA (508 nucleotides) under uncultured glomeraceous AM fungus. RNAcentral describes it as "SSU rRNA". It matches the Rfam family "Eukaryotic small subunit ribosomal RNA", at positions 569 to 1078 of the family's 1831-position model. The record is from RNAcentral. Lineage: Eukaryota; Fungi; Glomeromycota; Glomeromycetes; Glomerales; Glomeraceae.
AGCAGCCGCGGUAAUUCCAGCUCCAAUAGCGUAUAUUAAAGUUGUUGCAGUUAAAAAGCUCGUAGUUGAAUUUCGGGGUUAGUAGAUUGGUCAUGCCUCUGGUAUGUACUGGUCUUACUGAUUCCUCCUUCCUGAUGAUCCGUAAUGCCAUUAAUUUGGUGUUUCGGGGAAUUUGGACUGUUACUUUGAAAAAAUUAGAGUGUUUAAAGCAAGCUAACGCUUGAAUACAUUAGCAUGGAAUAAUGAAAUAGGACGUUCGAUCCUAUUUUGUUGGUUUCUAGGAUUGACGUAAUGAUUAAUAGGGAUAGUUGGGGGCAUUAGUAUUCAAUUGUCAGAGGUGAAAUUCUUGGAUUUAUUGAAGACUAACUACUGCGAAAGCAUUUGCCAAGGAUGUUUUCAUUAAUCAAGAACGAAAGUUAGGGGAUCGAAGACGAUCAGAUACCGUCGUAGUCUUAACCAUAAACUAUGCCGACUAGGGAUCGGAUGAUGUUAAUUUUUUAAUGACUCA